This 675-nucleotide ribosomal RNA is filed under the name Trypanoxyuris atelis. RNAcentral describes it as "partial large subunit ribosomal RNA". It matches the Rfam family "Eukaryotic large subunit ribosomal RNA", at positions 425 to 867 of the family's 3401-position model. The record is from RNAcentral. Lineage: Eukaryota; Metazoa; Nematoda; Chromadorea; Rhabditida; Oxyuridae.
AGGUUGAAUCGUUCAACUUGUUGUUCGAUAGCUUAGUCGGUUGUCCAGUUGGUUGUUCAAACGUUCGAUUGGUGCAAUUGCUGCUAGUAUGCGCUAAGGUAUUCGCUGCUUGUAUAUGCUUUAAACGGUGUUGGAAGAGGACUAUAUCACUUGUUGGUAUAGAACCCUUCCGCAUUGUGUGGUAUAUUCGUAGUGAAUAUAAAUUCGGUGUGUGUAUGGAUCACUAUGGUUCUCUGAGCUGUGGCGUUCAUUGAUUCUUGGUGGUUUUUUGCAUUUGACAGUGGCGUGCCACUUUGUCUUAUGUGUCCAAGGCUGUCGAUCGAUGUUCUUGUUACAGUUAGUGAUCUAUAUUCUUAGCGUUAAAGUCGAUCACCUAUCCGACCCGUCUUGAAACACGGACCAAGGAGUUUAGCAUAUGCGCGAGUCAUUGGGUGGUAAACCUAUAGGCGUAAUGAAAGUAAAGUAUACAUCUUGUAUGUAUCGAUAUGGGAUUCAUGCAGAUGUCUCAUUUAGCGAUCUGGCGCGUGCUGACUGGGGCAUUCAUAGUUACUGCAUGACGCACCAUAGCCCCGUUUAUGUUUAGCAUUGCUAACUAGGCGGAGGUAGAGCGUAUAUGCUAAGACCCGAAAGAUGGUGAACUAUGCUUGAACAGGAUGAAGCCAGAGGAAACUCUGG